UAAGGCGAGCGUUUACAAAACGUUUUGUUUUGUAUCCCUGUUGCAACGCUACGCAUACACGUUAAGCGGGAAACCAAACAGCGAACGUUCGCCUCAAACAUCUUUACUGAACGCACUGCUGAUGAAGGCCGAAUGUAUAUAUAUUUCCAGAGCACGAAUGAGUACCUAUCACGGCUGAUCAUAGUCUCGAGCCCCCCUCAGACCUUGCAUGGCUCAGGCCCCACCCCCGAGGCUGCUAGAGACCAAGCCUCUCUCCUAGCACUUAAAAUCCUAGGUGAUCCUGGGAAAGAAGAUUCCCCAGGGCCGGUGAUUGCUUCCGGAGACGGGACCCAGACAACGAAGUAGUAGCUUCUCAGAUGAGAUGUAUCGGUGACGGACGUUGAUUACCCACAAUUCUCUGACGAUUACAAGUCUGCAAAUUUGGAACUCAGUGCAAAAGGGUCAUAACUCCAUCUUAAUAUAGAAAGAGCUAUGUCUGUUUUGCACUUAGCCCUGGAAAUGGCGUGGUUGAACGCGAAACAGUCCUAAAUGACAUGAUUGAAAGAUUAACAUAGAACUCUUUCGCUUUCACCCUUCGACUGAUAGUUAUUUUAGGAAGAAAUCUCUAAAUGCUGACUGUGUUUCUUUUUGCCAUCAUAGUUGUAAACAACAUUUGUUUUGUAUAUUUGUUAAUGUUCUGCAUAUUUUGUUUAAAACUUUAGCAUUGAUUGAUGCACCUUUAGAUUUUCAAUGACACAUUUAGAAUGAUUAAAACAACAUUCUUAAAUUUUGUGAACAUUGUAAAUAUACAUUAUGGCAAUAAGGAAAACAGUUGUCGAACAUGAGUUAAAUACCUGUUCUGUUGUUCGUUUCAUCUUAGUUGUACUAAUGUUAUAACAAAAUAUUAUUUAGUUACAAGGAAUUGGAUCCUGGCAAAUGAUUUCAUUAAAAUGAUAUUGUUGGUAUAAAAUGAAAUGUUUAGUAAGUACUUACCACAGUUGACAAGUUGAUAGUUUGUGUAAUCUACUGGCAACAAUUUCUCCAAACUUCUUAAGUCCCUUAUAACAGGAUUAAGAUAAGCUUUCUAUUUUUGUGUUUCAAAAAUUUGCAUAAUAUAAACAUCUUUCAGAGUUUUUAUACUUAAAUAGGACUUAACUUUAUGAUAAAUACAAUAAACCAUUUUUCAUAUAUCAAAAUUCAAUUUAAGUAUGUAUUUUGGCUAAUUGAAAUAAGCUACUUAAGCCUGUUAAGCUUCGGAAGUUUCCAGAAAUUGGGCCCUGGGGCCUUUUUCAAUAUUAUUUCUCAUCCGUAUCUUUAGACAAGCCUCAGUGAUUCCAUUCAUUUGAUUGGCUGGUUAAUUUUACAAUCCAAUCACAACACUCUGAUUCUAUUCUAAAAUUUAAGUUUAAUCUAAGUUGGUUAUUAAAUAAAGCCCCAGAUUAAACAAGCACUUUUAUUAAAGAUUGAAAUUCAUAGCAUGCAUUUAGCUGUAAACAAUAAAACAAUUUUGUACUCGAUCUUCAAAAUUAGAAUCCCUUAAACCAAUUAGUUUUUAUUUGCAGUAGUGUUUUAAAAAAAAUAUAGUUCUACAAUUCACCGUGUGGUUGUUCUGUAUUAUAAAGCUUUAAUUUUAAUAUCUGUUAGACUCAGUCAUAUUUUGAUGUGAUGAUUGUGUUUUUCUGUUAAUAAUUAUGAUGAUUUCUUAUUUGUGAUUCUACAUUCAUGUAAUGUGUUAGUUAUCAAAAAGUUGAAAGUUGUACCUCUUAUUGCAGUGAGGUUAUAGUUUUCAGUUCUACUUUUUAUAUCCUAUUCUGAAAUUUAAAAUACCAAGAUCAGUUUAACAGAUUUAACUCAUUUGAUUUCAUUUUGGCAUUGUAUUUUGGGUAAUGCUUUCAAUGAUCAUGUGAUUUGUCACCAUAAGUCACAUGAUCACAAGUUCAACAAUGGUAUAUUCUUCACACAUUAAAUUUCUUAGCGCAAUGUUACAGGGUGUUUUUUUUUCUAAAGAGACUCAAAUUUUUUGUUGGCCAUAUUUAAAAAAAAGAAAAGAAAUUAGACUUACUAUUCUUACAACUAUCUGAUAUAAAAUUGAUCUUAAAUUAUUAUCAAUUGAAUGAAGAAAUUCGGAUUUGUGUGAAGAGUAAACACUGUGAGACUUUUAGAAUAGUCAAAGUAUUACACUUACAGGUAUUUGUUCCCUGCUUUAAUAAUAAAUACAUGUAUUUGUAAACAGGGGGCCCUGGCUCAUGGGAUAUUUAAGGUAUCAGACUCACAAAUAUGUGACUUUGUAUGCAAGGUGGCCCCAUGUGAUUUUGGUAUCAUUUGAAAGUGUUUUGUGUGCACAUAAAGAAAAUACAAAACUAAGGUAACAACCGCAAUUACUCAGCUUUUAAAGAUUUCAAAAUGAUUCCUGUAUGUCCAAUUUCAGUUAUAAAGAACAAAUCAGUCAGUAAGUUGUUUAUUAUAGUGUUAUGUGUACAUAGCAUAACAACAUUUCAUAAUAAAUAGUUUUACAUUUACACCAGGCCCAUUGGGUCUAUAAGUCACCUAUAAAUCGGCGGUAUAUGGAGCAUAAUUUCAUAUAAAACAUAAGUUGUAUGUAACAGUGCAGAUAUACGAACAAUCGAGUACUAUUUUACAAAGCAUCAAUGACCGGAAUUAAGACAACAAUAAUCAAUCAAGUAUAGUGCAUUUAUUUCAAAAUGAUACAUUUUAAGUGUCACAUGCAUUGCUUUCAAUGAUUGUGUAAGAAAUAUUAUAAAUAUAUUCAAGCUGUAAUAACUGUAUGAAAUGAUGUACUUUUGUUCAUUUACAUGUAUAUUACAUAUUUAAACUCAGCAAUCAAAUACCCUUCAAAUGAUGCCAACAUCUUAUAGGGUCACCUGGCCUCACAAUUGAACAUUAAGGUCAAUGGGAGCUAUCUGAGAACUGCUAGUAGCUAAUUUGAGAGUCGGAUUCUGUAAAUUAGAUUUUCAUUAUGCUUCAUACAUUAAGUUUCAGGUCAUUCGUUGCUUGUGUAAAAAAAAGUUAGCUCAUAUUUAUUGUCAAAUGCUAUGAUGAUUUCAAACAGGACUUUAAAUAUUGUAUGUGUAUCUUUUGACCUUGGCCUUGACCUGGAUCCUUCUGACUGGGUGAAGGCAGCUUUCUGUGGUGAUAUUUCAGUGUCAUUGUGGACAUUUGAUUGCCAAUCAGUACUUUGUACCAAUAGAAAGCCUUAUUUUACAUUUUCGGACACAACCAUUCUAACAUUCUAAUGUCUACCAUUAACCAAUGUUUACCUGAAAUAUAAUUGUGUGAAGUUUUUUAUGAAGACGUACUUGUUUGAAUGAGCUGGGGCUUACAUUUAAGUUACAGGCAUCGUGCAAUACAUGUGUUAAUCCAUCUUCAUAUAUUAAGUGCUCCAAAACAUUAUGUUGCUUAAAAAAAUAAACAGUUAUCAGAG
Mya arenaria is the source of this 3421-nucleotide long non-coding RNA. RefSeq lists it as uncharacterized. NCBI's taxonomy places the organism in Eukaryota, Metazoa, Mollusca, Bivalvia, Myida, Myidae. The record is from RefSeq and is a predicted model, not a curated record. The transcript has 2 exons.